Molecule: unclassified non-coding RNA, 1495 nt
Filed under: Hevea brasiliensis (rubber tree)
Lineage: Eukaryota; Viridiplantae; Streptophyta; Magnoliopsida; Malpighiales; Euphorbiaceae
Source: RNAcentral
AGGCAAUUAAGGCUAGGGCGACUUGCUUCAAAAAGACCCUCACUGGUGCAUCUUUCAUCUGAAGCCUUCAACCACAGCUGGAUGCAUUUCAUUUCGAAUAUCCUGUUUUUCCUUCUUAAUUUCAUCGCUUAAAGCACUUCUUCCUGUUUGUAUCCUUUGCAAGUAUGGGGAUGCUAUAAGAUUAUGUUCCAUAUUCUUUAGAAUAAAACUUUCGUUCUGGUCUCUUCUCAUCACACAUGCACCUAAAGAGCUGCUUUCCUUCAAAUUCGAUGAUUGUGUGUCAAAGGGAAGUGAUGCGGCAGCUGUGGCUCCCAUUUCAUAUUCUUGAAACAAACAAAGACAAGUCAGAAUUGCUCUACCAUAAUAAGAUCAACUGUAAAAGAUGUAAAAUAUGCUAUAGAGCAGAAAUCAGUCUAACACUGAUCCAUAAGCACACUGUUAUACUGAAGAUAAUGCUGCAUAGCAUACUGCACAUAUACCUGAAGGAAUCCUUUCUGAAUGAUCUGCAUUAAGUUGCUGGUGUGGCAAAAUACCUUCCCUGCAAAUUUCCUUCAAUUGCAUGCAUAUAAGAUAGCUAAUCCACAUGCAUAUUGUCAUUCAAAGGGAUCAUAUUCAAACUUACCUCAGAAGAUCUGCGAAGUGGAAAAGGCCCAAAGUGAGCUCGGAUUGAUGAUUCCAUGCCAAAAGAGGUUUCUGAAUUUAUUAUAUUGGGUACUGAUAGCUGGCUUGAGAUGGCACAUUGGUUUGGAAGAUCAAAGAUAAUUUGUUCUGUGUUUUCCUGGUUUAGAGCAAGACUACCACUUAUAUUCAGAUGCUGAGAGCCAUUUUCCUCGCUAAAUCCCCUGCUGUAUUGAGAAAGUUGGACUGGUUGCAGCAUUCCAGGUAAGCACAUUGGAUGGAAACUUAUUCCAUUUCUCAUUGAUAACAUCUGUACUUGGAGCUGAAGUUGCUUGAGGUAUUCAAUAGCUUCAUCAAGCAUUGAUGCCUUAUCAGUCUUGUUAGAAUUUGGAAUUAGGUUUUGCAGCGCUUUCAUUUUCUCAUUUAUCCUGCUUCUCCUCCUCUUUUCAGACAAAUUGUGAACUUCUGCAGCUCUGCUUCUCUUCGAUGAACUACGUGGAGGAGCUGGCUUUGCUGGCGCCUCCUCUGCCAAAGCUUCAAGACCCUCCUCGCUUUCGCAGUCGUAGUCAUCAGCCUCGUUCUCACUAGCUCCUCCAAUCGACAAAGACGACGUAUUCGCCGCGCCUCCUUUCACAUUACCCGGGAAAAAACCAACGUUCACUCCUUCACAAGAAUCCAAGCCGGAGAUCCCGUCUUUCACGAGAGUUGAUCCGCAUGGACGGUGACAAUGACCCUCCCGCGGAAUAGAAAUGGGACCAUCAAAUGACUGCAACUGUGGGCCGGUGUGGUUCACAAAUGACGAGGCAAACGAAGAUAUCGAAGAAGCAGAAGUAGAAUGGAGAAGAAUCUGAUGGAGGAAACGCGAGAUAUCGUCCGA